UACGAAGGGGGCUAGCGUUGCUCGGAAUCACUGGGCGUAAAGGGUGCGUAGGCGGGUCUUUAAGUCAGGGGUGAAAUCCUGGAGCUCAACUCCAGAACUGCCUUUGAUACUGAGGAUCUUGAGUUCGGGAGAGGUGAGUGGAACUGCGGGUGUAGAGGUGAAAUUCGUAGAUAUUCGCAAGAACAUCAGUGGCGAAGGCGGCUCACUGGCCCGGUACUGACGCUGAGGUGCGAAAGCGUGGGGAGCAAACAGG
This 253-nucleotide ribosomal RNA is filed under the name uncultured bacterium. Its description in RNAcentral is "partial 16S ribosomal RNA". It matches the Rfam family "Bacterial small subunit ribosomal RNA", at positions 524 to 776 of the family's 1533-position model. The record is from RNAcentral.